Small nuclear RNA from Saimiri boliviensis boliviensis (Bolivian squirrel monkey), 104 nucleotides. The record is from Ensembl. NCBI's taxonomy places the organism in Eukaryota, Metazoa, Chordata, Mammalia, Primates, Cebidae.
CUGCUCACUUCCACAGCACAAAUACUAAAAUUGGAACAGCUCAAAGAUUAGCUUGUACUCUGCACAAGGAUGACAUGUUAAUUCAUAAAGCAUUCGUAUUUUUU